GUUUGACAUCAGCUCAGAAUCUUUUUAGGUUUGUAAGUGCGUUUUUAGCCUAAUAAAGACUUGCAGAGGUGAGCGGAUGUAUCAAGUCAGUAUUUUUAUCCUACUAGACAAAUGUGGCACCGAUUCGUCCAACGAAGGACGGAAUGCUUGGCUAGCACCAAUGCGGUUUUAAACAGAUGGUCGAUCUUGCAGUCGCAGCCAAACCUCUUAUUUUUACAGCUAUACCCAUUUAAAGAAACAAUGACUAAGGGGCAUUCAUAUCCUUGCGCGAGAAGUGAAAUUCGUGUAUUGCUGGAGAUGCUCUAAAGCGAAAGCAUUUGCUAAGAAUGUCUUCAUUAAUCAA
RNAcentral lists this non-coding RNA (343 nucleotides) under Necator americanus (New World hookworm). Lineage: Eukaryota; Metazoa; Nematoda; Chromadorea; Rhabditida; Ancylostomatidae. The record is from Rfam by way of RNAcentral.